CCCGCCUCCCGCCCGGCACGGCCGCUGCCCGCUCCCGCCGCCAUGACGGGGCAGCGUGGGGCGUGCCAUCCAGGUUGUUUUCGCCUAGAUCUGAAAAUGAGAGCCAGCUAGAGACCCACUCCUGCGCUCAGGUCUGAGGCCCCUGGAGAGCUCUGCACCUUGGACUUCUUGCAGAGAUGGACAGGGAAGAAGAGAUCAUUCCUGGGUCGGCUGUGUGCACAACCAUUAGCUUUUCACAACCAGCAAUCGGGCACCCUGCUUGCACAAAGGACUUCACUUCCUUAUUAAUGCUGUCAGAGCAUAUGCAAAACUUGAUACCAAAAACAGCCACAGAGGCCAGCGAGUGCGACAACAAAACAAGUAUUUUAUUGGUCUACUUUGAUGCACCAUUUAGUACAGAGAUGAAGUUAAAGCCCCAAAUUCUUCAGCCCGCACUGUGGUGCCCUUUGAUGUGCAGCAUGAGGAUUCCCCGAGCUAAAGAGUGUGGAUGGUGACGCUGAAGAUAUUUUCUCAUACGUUCUCCAGUUCACCUUGGGAAUAGAAGAGGGUUGAGGCAGCAGCUUGAGGUCAGGGUGUUCUGGUCAAAGGUCUGUGGUUAUUCCCACUCAACAACAGGAGAACACACAAAUGCAAUUUUGUGCAGUAGCCUCCUGCUCAGGGUAACCAUCUGGACACAGAGCAGCUUGUUUGUACUGACUCCUCCCUUGUGACAAAUCCAAACAUACUCCAUGUCUCCUACGCCAUAUUCAAGGUCCCUGGCAGAUGUGUAUUUUUCAUCUUCCAACAAUAGCAUCUGAAAUGUAGCACUUCAUAGAGUCCUACAGGAUCCUCCACCUCUGCUGUGCCAGUCUGUUCCUACAUCAUUAAUUCUUAGCCAGGAGACUGAUCUGAAACCAUUUCUAUUACAUUUUUCCAUCAGUGACUCAAAUUGCAGGUACUGAGGCUGUUUGUGCUACACACACACAGGAGAAAGAAAUUCUGGUACCAUAUGCUGCAACAAAUCCAGGGUCACAUCUCUCGAACUCAGCAGAAUUUCUCCAGGUUAAUCUCAGUAAUGGAGAUCAGCUCCUCAUGGUGGUGAUCUAGCCUGCCACUCAGCUCCCACAUUUUGAAGGAAACCGAGGAAACAAAUCUGUCUGUCAACACAGACUGAGCAGCCUGAGAUAAAUUUGUUACAAAAAAACCCCAAUACCAACCAUCCUUUACUGAAAAAAAGUUAUUCCCUUCUGGGUCUGACUGGAGCAUCCUGGAUAAUCUCUCCUACCAUGGCAGGACUGAAACAGAGUGAACUCCAGAAGGCCCAUGAUACUCAGACGACCUUGACCAAAAUAUGCAAAGGUAAUUGCAAAUAAGCAGGACUUUUGUUCUGGGGAAUUCAGGCUGUAUAUAUGCUUCUCCCUGCCUCACCUGAGAUCUAUGAAGAUGAACAUACUUAGUUUUUCUUUAAUACACUAGGUGAAUUUAUCAUUCAGGUCAACAGUCAGCUAUUCCUCCUCAUGCUUUACAAUCAUCAGCAGCAAAGUGGGGCAGGUUCUUUGCCAGCAGUCCCCGACCUCUUUCCACUCAGCAGUUGCUCCAAAAGCAAUUCCCAUUUGCCAAAGCAGUGCUAUAGUCAAUCUGGGGCUAUACACUGGCAGACGGGCCAGCUGGUUGCUCCCAAAUACCAUAGUAAGGUAUCUGCCCUCUUUUCCUUCCUGAAGGUAUAUUUUCUGUCCCCUACCUUGAUGGCACUUCUUGUGAACGUGAUUGUCUCAUGUCAACAAAUCUGAAGUUGCCUAGGGAGUUCAGAAACUAUUAGAGAAGACAGAGGAAGAAAGAUUGUGUAAAUGCAGAAUAAAUUUCAAAACCUACAGACUGUUUCUUUCAAUUAAGUCUUAAAUGUGGCCUGUGUACAUCCCAUAUAUUUCAUAAAAGAAAUUUCAAUACUUUUUCUGUUUACUUUCAAUUAAGUGUGGGUUGUUACACCCACAGCUGCAGUGAUGUUUCCUCCAUAACAGUGUCUUAAAGCUUCAAUCUCUUUACCAAAUAAUAAACCUUAGCAUAUUAAUUAGCGGUCCUCAGGAACCUGAAACAAGCAUUUCAAGACUGCCUAUAAUCUCAGUGGGGUUUCAGGAUCUUCUAGGGUCUGCUCAAAGCUUUGUAUUUAUGCCAUUCACCUCAACUGAACAGCAAAACUGCACGCAGAUGAUACAGAAGUAACAUAAUAAGCAGCAGUAAUUGGAUUAAUAACCCAUUAGCACAAAUUUAAAAUCCCAAUGGUUAUUACUGGGAGUAAAGGGAGGGGUUGCCAUUCUUCAUGUUAGAACAUGAAUCAAACACUGCCACCAAGAAACAGGAAAAUGAUUUCUACAGACGAGUGAUUUUGUGUUCUUGUUUCUGCAGGCAGCACUCACCAACAAGGGAACUACUUACUAGCUCCACUUCCAAGCGCAUCUGUGCCAUGUAUUAACCCUGGAGUAAGCAGCACAGGCAGGUGCUACAACUGCUUUAGAAACAGGCCCCGUGCCAUCAGAGGCUGGUGACCAAAGAAGUCUGACUGGUCUAAGCUGUUUUAAUGCCUGCAUGGGCAUUUUAGUUCCGCAUAUAAAAAUGAACUCUUAAUAGUUUUUUCCCACCCUGCUUUCAACGAUGGUUUUGUUCUUAAACCAGAGAAGCCAUAGGUUUUUUUUUUCUUUUUCACCCUUCCUGCUUAGAAGUUGCCUAGCAAAAUCCCACAGACUAUUUCAAGAAUUCAAGAGGACACUGCUUUUGCUGGAGCUCUCCUUCACAUCUCGAGCACACCCUGGCUCAAAGGCAUUUUUUAUAUAGCCUGCCCAUACUCCUGUGCAGACCUGCCUAUGGAAAAAGGGGCCCCAGCUCCCCCACCUACCCGCGAUGCCAGAGCCUCCCCCAGACCCCGUCUGACUCCUCACUCAUCUCUGCCGGCCGCUGGGGAAGAGUCAUUUGCCAUAUUGUGGGUCAUGACUGAACAGUGAUACCUGAAGCCUCUCCAUAUGGAAACCGUCAGCCCCAGCAGCACAUCCAGUUGCCUUCGAGAUGGAUGAGCACUGGUGGCCCUUGACAUUCAUCAGGAGAGCAGAAAGUCACAGGGAUUCAGCCGAAUCAAACAGCAAAUGGCAGCUGGCCUGGUACCUUUCGUAGAUACUUUUGAAACUGCUCAGGAAGUUUUUUCCUUCCCCACACAAGUUUGUCACUCCCCUCUCUUGUUACCUGCUGGAUUGCAGAGCUGUGCUUGAUGGGGUUGCAGGAACUGCCAGCAAUGCCCUCGCUGUAGCCUUGUUAGAGAAUUUAGGUCUGGGCUCGGCAAAGCACUGGCUGAAUUCACGAAGAACAGCAAUGACCCCUCGUGGCCAGGGAGGAAAAUGCCGGGACCUUCAGUUGCCCCCACACAUCAGAAAAGAUCAGUAACCAAACCUUACCAGCUAGUGCUCUUGUUCUCAGGCUUAAAAACAGAAGUGCCAGGUAUUCGGGAGCACGGGAACUGGGUGAGUCACACACUCUUCCCCCAUUUAAUACAUCCCCAAGGCCAAAGUAUCAGGAAUGCUGCAGCAAGCAGGAGGAAUUGGAAAGCUCAGAGCUGAAGCAGUCCAGAUCUUGAGCUCACUGUCUUUCAGGCUGUAUACUCAUUUAUUGAGCAUAAAUAACAAAAAAGGUUCACAAUGGGGAGAGAGGGCUAGCGUAAGAACCCUGGAAAUAGACCACAGUUUUAAAGACUGCUAGGUAGAGGGGGAGGGAAAAAAAAAAAAAAAAAAAAAAAGAGGAAAAAGAAAAAAAAAAUUAUAUAACAACUCAGCUGUGCAGCCCACACAGCCUGCUGCAGAGACACCAGCACCUUUUUCCUAAGAUCUGUGUUAUGAGACCCUGGCACUGUCUCACCUUGCAGGUCUGACAGCUCACACAACUCUACAUUAACCACCUCCAGAGCAUGCUUCCUCAGCACGUUUCCACCACAGUACUAACAGCAUUUUCAAGAGCCUCAUAACACCCCCCAACCCCUUUCUGACUUGCUAGACACCUGCAGAGAGGUGGCCUGAGGACAGAGAAACAUUUUGCAUUCGUGUACCAGUUCAGCAGAACCAUUUCCAGAUAUCAAAUCUCUCUAGGUGGUAGCGAAGUACAGGCUCUUCGCACCUUUGCCCUUUAAGGACAGAGUUCUUUAAAUUGAAGGGACAGAGAUGCAAAGAGAUCUAAUGGAUUAACUACAGACCUCUCCAUCAGCGUUGAAAAAUGCUUUAAAAAAAGGGAAGACUAGGUAUUUUAUCUCACUGCCUGCAUAUCCCUAUCUGCUUAUACCUAGAAGCCUCACAGCAGAAAUCCCCAAAUCUCCCCAUAUGGUAAUAAGAUAAACAGCUUCUAAACUGCAGCAAUUGGGUAGGGAAAAAAAGAGGUACUUUUCCAAUUAAAAGAUGCAGCCUGCUAAAGCUUUUAGCCUUUUGGCACUGUUGCUGUCCACACAGACAUGGAUAAUGCUGCUACCAGCCUGAUGUACACACCUGAAAGUGUCACCAUCAAGCUUUAGUUUUCAAAUUUCCUAAGUCAUCUUGAGGAUGUGAUUGUUGCAACACUUACUAGGGAAUCCUCAUAAACCUCAAAAAUAACAAUUCCCGGGUUUUGCGUGGAGCAUUCCACCAAUAUCCCCAAGAAGUUCAGUACUAUUUUGCAGAGGCAGAACAGAUGACCAAUGUCCUUGCUUGCCCUUAGCCACUGAGCUCCAUAAUGCUCUAGUAUUUAGGUAGCAGCAUUGGUGGCAACCGUCCAGCCUUUGCUAUUUGGCAGGGCAAUGAGGCAGAGCUGUUGGGGAAGGUAAAUACUACCAACAUGAUCUGAAGCUGCCACCUAGUGCUGCUUCUGAACAGAGGCACAGCAGUCUGUGCCAGAUGAGAAGCAAGGAAGGGCGUUUCUAGUUCCCAGGAAAAGAUUGAGCAAGGAGUUUUUCCUUUUGCCUGGGACAAGCAUGAGAAUUUGCAAGACUAGAAUUAGAGUCAGGGACAAUUAGGACAGACAUUUUGCCUUUUCAUCCUUUUACGAAUUACAGCACUGUGGUGCAAGCCGCUCUAAUAAAAUACAAACACAACGUACCUACACAAUACACGUAUAAUAAACAGCUGUAGUACAGCACCAGAGAUCUGAGGAUGUUCUAAGGAAAGCAUCACAUCCAUUCUGUAUAGAGAAGGGAAGCGACUGCCAAUGCCUAGCUCAGCAUGCCCAUGUGUAACCACUGGCCUGAGGAUCUUCACCAGUGUCAUACUGGGCUCCCUGUCAUCGCUGCUGCACGACUCACCUCACCAUGGGAUCCUGCAGUGAAGCAAUGUUGAGAGCAACACUGUGGAGAGCAACACUGUGAACAUCACCAGGCAAUGUACUUACAGAGGUACCCUGCACAGAAAAUACACUAAAGAAGGUCAAGUCCUGCUUGAAUGGGAUGAGGAGCAGCAGCUCAAGAGGAGGUAACGGGGCACUGCAGCUAUUCUGAGUGUCCUGGCACAUGGGAACUUGAGCCAACCAUAACUCUCAAGCUAGUCCAAGUUCAUUCUGGAGAAAGACAAGCUAAUGCACACACUCCUGAAUGACUGAUCAAUUUCAAAAAAUUUAUUGAAAUGUAAAAUAUUUAAUAGAAAACAAUACUGGAGCCUCUUCAGAGCAGCUCACCACAUCAGGCAUAAAAAAAAGAGACCAACAGGAUGCACAGACUGAGAAGGCACUGCUUGCCCAUGGCUCCUGGCUCAUGUGGACAGCCACAUCAUGCCAUAUCCAGUCUCACACCAUUGAGGCACAGAAGCCAUGAACAGCCAGACCCCAAAUGUGGUUAGCAAGGGUGUGGAUACUCCUGUCCUCUUAAGACCAGUAUGUGAUCUGAAGUCUUAAUGAGAAAAACAAGCGCUCCCAGUCAGAGGACUGACUGGCAGAUCUACAUCACAGUAAAGGAAAAAUCAAAACCAUUUAGAAAGACUUAGGGGAGAGAAGCACCACGAAACACAUUCCUUCCUCUCCAUCAUUUUGCACAAAGUUCAGGGGCACUAGACACAGCAACAAGUACUAUGAGAUAUUACCAGGUGCAUCUACAUCUUCAUAAAGGUCAGAUAUCAAUUUUUCAGGCUGCUGCACUAAAAGGCUAUUGUAUUUAAGUACUAUUUAGUACUAUUGUACUAAAAGGGCUCAGGAGGUUUCCUGGGUGUUAAAAUGAGGAAUUUUGGUGGUUUCUGAAGUGUGGAAUGAAUGCUGGGGAGAAGAACACUGAAAAUAAAUAAUAGUGAAAAUCAAAA
Molecule: long non-coding RNA, 6263 nt
Organism: Tyto alba (common barn owl)
Lineage: Eukaryota; Metazoa; Chordata; Aves; Strigiformes; Tytonidae
Exons: 2
Source: RefSeq, a predicted model, not a curated record